CCUGUUUGGUGACAGCGGAGGGACAUUACCGAGUUUACAACUCCCAAACCCAAUGUGAACCAUACCAAACUGUUGCCUCGGCGGGGUCACGCCCCGGGUGCGUCGCAGCCCCGGAACCAGGCGCCCGCCGGAGGGACCAACCAAACUCUUUUCUGUAGUCCCCUCGCGGACGUUAUUUCUUACAGCUCUGAGCAAAAAUUCAAAAUGAAUCAAAACUUUCAACAACGGAUCUCUUGGUUCUGGCAUCGAUGAAGAACGCAGCGAAAUGCGAUAAGUAAUGUGAAUUGCAGAAUUCAGUGAAUCAUCGAAUCUUUGAACGCACAUUGCGCCCGCCAGUAUUCUGGCGGGCAUGCCUGUCCGAGCGUCAUUUCAACCCUCGAACCCCUCCGGGGGGUCGGCGUUGGGGAUCGGGAACCCCUAAGACGGGAUCCCGGCCCCGAAAUACAGUGGCGGUCUCGCCGCAGCCUCUCCUGCGCAGUAGUUUGCACAACUCGCACCGGGAGCGCGGCGCGUCCACGUCCGUAAAACACCCAACUUCUGAAAUGUUGACCUCGGAUCAGGUAGGAAUACCCGCUGAACUUAAGCAUAUCAAUAGCCGGGAGGAAAAUUAUCAACUCCUUUACCUUU
This 627-nucleotide ribosomal RNA is filed under the name Trichoderma gamsii. Its description in RNAcentral is "eukaryotic LSU rRNA". The stretch from base 214 to 367 matches the Rfam family "5.8S ribosomal RNA". Lineage: Eukaryota; Fungi; Ascomycota; Sordariomycetes; Hypocreales; Hypocreaceae. The record is from RNAcentral.